This 305-nucleotide ribosomal RNA is filed under the name uncultured bacterium. Its description in RNAcentral is "bacterial SSU rRNA". It matches the Rfam family "Bacterial small subunit ribosomal RNA", at positions 335 to 639 of the family's 1533-position model. The record is from RNAcentral.
ACCCUACGGGGCGCAGCAGUGAGGAAUAUUGGUCAAUGGACGCAAGUCUGAACCAGCCAUGCCGCGUGCAGGAAGACGGCUCUAUGAGUUGUAAACUGCUUUUGUACGAGGGGAAACUCGGAUACGUGUAUCCGUUUGAAAGUAUCGUACGAAUAAGGAUCGGCUAACUCCGUGCCAGCAGCCGCGGUAAUACGGAGGAUUCAAGCGUUAUCCGGAUUUAUUGGGUUUAAAGGGUGCGUAGGCGGAUCGUUAAGUCAGUGGUCAAAUUGAGGGGCUCAACCCCUUCCCGCCAUUGACACUGGCGU